CUAGUACUCCCUCCGUUCGGAAUUACUUAUCAUAAAAAUGAAUAAAAAUAGAUGUAUCUACAACUAAAAAACAUCUAAAUACAUUUAUUUCUUGGACGAGUAAUUUCAAACGGAGGGAGUAGUUC
Triticum aestivum (bread wheat) is the source of this 125-nucleotide non-coding RNA. The record is from Rfam. Lineage: Eukaryota; Viridiplantae; Streptophyta; Magnoliopsida; Poales; Poaceae.